CUGACGGUGACAGCCAGUGGUUCUCUGGUGUGUCCUGGUGGCGUAUGGGAGCGUAGCUCUGCUAUGACGUACAGUCCCGUUCCACAGCGUCGGACAAAAAGCUCCGUCCCCGGCUUCCGGCCGGCGAGGACGAGCGUCCUGCAUAUUCCUACAACUUCCCAGAGUCCUUUGGGGCCGUGACUGGGGAGCCAAACCAUGCAGUGCACAGCC
Small nucleolar RNA from Myripristis murdjan (pinecone soldierfish), 210 nucleotides. Its record names the gene SNORA73. It matches the Rfam family "Small nucleolar RNA SNORA73 family". From Rfam's summary of the family: U17 (SNORA73A and SNORA73B) also known as E1 belongs to the H/ACA class of small nucleolar RNAs (snoRNAs). Vertebrate U17 is intron-encoded and ranges in length from 200-230 nucleotides, longer than most snoRNAs. Lineage: Eukaryota; Metazoa; Chordata; Actinopteri; Holocentriformes; Holocentridae. The record is from Ensembl.